UGAGGAAUAUUGGUCAAUGGUCGCUAGACUGAACCAGCCAAGUAGCGUGCGGGAUGAAGGCCCUCCGGGUCGUAAACCGCUUUUAGACGGGGAUAAAAGGGCGUACGUGUACGCCGUAUUGCAUGUACCGUCAGAAAAACGGACCGGCUAAUUCCGUGCCAGCAGCCGCGGUAAUACGGAAGGUCCGGGCGUUAUCCGGAUUUAUUGGGUUUAAAGGGAGCGUAGGCGGACUUUCAAGUCGGUGGUAAAAUCGUGUGGCUCAACCAUACCUCGCCAUUGAAACUGGAAGUCUGGAGUGCACACAGGGGUGCCGGAAUUCAUGGUGUAGCGGUGAAAUGCUUAGAUAUCAUGAAGAACUCCGAUCGCGAAGGCAAGUGCCCGGGGUGCAACUGACGCUGAGGCUCGAAGGUGCGGGUAUCGAACAGGAUUAGAUACC
Molecule: ribosomal RNA, 436 nt
Filed under: uncultured bacterium
Lineage: Bacteria
Description: bacterial SSU rRNA
Rfam family: Bacterial small subunit ribosomal RNA
Source: RNAcentral